GGCGCACGGGUGAGUAACACGUGGGUAAUUUGCCUUCGGGUGGGGAAUACCGACCGGAAACGGUCGUUAAUACCGCAUGAUGCACGGCUCCGAUUGGAGACAGUUGUUAAACGGGGGAACGCGGCAACGCGUCCUCGUGCCUGAAGAGAAGCCCGCGGCGGAUUAGGUGGUUGGUGAGGUAAUGGCUCACCAAGCCUGCGAUCCGUAACCGGCCUGAGAGGGCGGUCGGUCACACUGACACUGAGACACGGGUCAGACUCCUACGGGAGGCAGCAGUCGGGAAUUUUGGGCAAUGGGCGCAAGCCUGACCCAGCAACGCCGCGUGAAGGAUGAAGCCUUUCGGGGUGUAAACUUCGCAAGAACAGGAAGAAUAAGAGAGAGUUAAUACCUCUUUCGAUGACGGUACUGUUUGUAAGCUCCGGCUAACUCCGUGCCAGCCGCCGCGG
This 446-nucleotide ribosomal RNA is filed under the name uncultured bacterium. RNAcentral describes it as "bacterial SSU rRNA". It matches the Rfam family "Bacterial small subunit ribosomal RNA", at positions 97 to 520 of the family's 1533-position model. The record is from RNAcentral.